This 498-nucleotide ribosomal RNA is filed under the name uncultured bacterium. RNAcentral's name for it is "partial 16S ribosomal RNA". It matches the Rfam family "Bacterial small subunit ribosomal RNA", at positions 30 to 523 of the family's 1533-position model. The record is from RNAcentral.
AUUGAACGCUGGCGGCAUGCCUUACACAUGCAAGUCGAACGGUAACAGGUCUUCGGAUGCUGACGAGUGGCGAACGGGUGAGUAAUACAUCGGAACGUGCCUAGUAGUGGGGGAUAACUACUCGAAAGAGUGGCUAAUACCGCAUGAGAUCUACGGAUGAAAGCAGGGGAUCGCAAGACCUUGUGCUACUAGAGCGGCCGAUGGCAGAUUAGCUAGUUGGUGGGAUAAAAGCUUACCAAGCCGACGAUCUGUAGCUGGUCUGAGAGGACGAUUCGCCACAAUGGGACUGAGACACGGUCCAGACUCGUACGGGAGGAAGCAGUGAGAAAUUUAGGACAAUGGGCGAAAGACUGAUCCAGCAAUGCCGCGUGCAGGAUGAAGGCAUUCGGGUUGUAAACUGCUUGUGUACGGAACGAAAAGCCCCGGGUUAAUACCCUGGGGUAAUGACGGUACCGUAAGAAUAAGCACCGGCUAACUACGUGCCAGCCGCCGUAGUAA